UCGAGACCGAAACACAUCGAGCGAUUCAGAGAACUCAUGAAGCGAGUGGCGGCGGCUGCCACCGCAGGAUGACUGUCCUAGCCGUCACCUCAUCCCCUCCUAGGAGGGAUGUGGGGGGCACGACUGAGGACGGAUGAAACACAAACCGACGCAGCUCCACGCUAAGGGAAAAUCGAAAGGCACGGGCCCCACGUCGGGCUCGGUGGCAUGGAGCGCCAUCGCCCUCCAUACAAAUGGACACGACUCUCGGUAAUGGAUAUCUUAGCUCUCGUAUCGAUGAAGAGCACAACAAAAUGCGAUACGUGGUGCGAAUUGCAGAAUCCUGCGAACCAUCGAGUCUUUGAACGUAAUUUAUGCCCGAGGCCAGCUGGCCGAGGGCACGUCCACCUGGGCGUCAAGCAUCGCAUCGCUCCGUGCCAACUCAAUCCCCUCGAUGGGUGCGUGUCGGCCGAGGCACGGACGCGCAGGGUGGCCCGUUGUGCCCUUCGGCGUGGUGGGCUGAAGAGCCGGUUCUCAUCUCGCUAGCUGCGGGCAACGAGGGGUGGGUGAAAGCUGUGAGCACAGCCUGUGUUGUCUCGUGCGGAGCUUAAGAGAAUGACGGUGCCCCCGAGGCGAUCCCGACCCACGUGUCGAUCUGCAUGCGGUGGCUUAGAAU
RNAcentral lists this ribosomal RNA (655 nucleotides) under Cymbidium faberi. RNAcentral's name for it is "eukaryotic LSU rRNA". The stretch from base 242 to 397 matches the Rfam family "5.8S ribosomal RNA". The record is from RNAcentral. Lineage: Eukaryota; Viridiplantae; Streptophyta; Magnoliopsida; Asparagales; Orchidaceae.